Mobula hypostoma (lesser devil ray) is the source of this 514-nucleotide long non-coding RNA. RefSeq lists it as uncharacterized. NCBI's taxonomy places the organism in Eukaryota, Metazoa, Chordata, Chondrichthyes, Myliobatiformes, Myliobatidae. The transcript has 3 exons. The record is from RefSeq and is a predicted model, not a curated record.
GGAGCAAAUUUUGGCCAUACGGAGGAUGUGGUUGAGAAAAUCCCUGGAUAAUAUGUUCAGUUGUAAUCUCCAAAUGCUACUGGAACAAAAGCAGCCACUAAAGCAGGAAAGCACAUACCAGCAGGCUCAAGGGAGAAAGCUCGGGAGCUUGAAGACUCGUACAGCCAGAUUUGGGAACAGCUUCUUUGCAACUGUGAUAAGACUGCUGAAUGGAUCCUGACCCAGAUCUGGGCCGUACCCUCCAAAUAUCCGGACCUCCCUCUCAGUUUUUUUUUCACUACCUUACUUUCCCUUUUCUAUUUUCUAUUUAUGAUUUAUAAUUUAAAUUUUUAAUAUUUAUUAUCAAUUUGUAAUCUAGGGAGCGUGAAGCGCAGAAUCAAAUAUCGCUGUGAUGAUUGUACGCUCUAGUAUCAAUUGUUUGGCAACAAUAAAGUAAAGUAAGUAAGUAAGUAAAUCCACUGAGAGAAUGAAUGUCCUCUCUCAGGCCAACAUGAGAGAACCUUUUAUCACUGGU